UGCCUAGUCAAUGAAAGAAUGUGCCGGAGGCCCUUCGAACAGUGUCAAGUACCUGGAAAACACUCAAGAAAUGCCAGUCAUCUUUCUGUCAUCAUCAUUACUCUUUGCAACCUUCUCACACACCUGCUGUUCUUAUUUGCUGACGAUUUUGAUGGUCUCGCAUGCACCCGUGCUUUUGUGCUGGAUGAUUCUUCCUCCUGGAGGUCUCUAUCUUUGACCUGUUCAUUCAUUCAUACCUAGUCACUCAUUCAUUCAUUCAUUCGCAAAGUUUUGCUGAAUCACAGCUGCUCACCCUGUAGACUCAUUUCAGUCAGCCCUUCCUUGCCAUUCCUACUGGAUUUACAACUCCUGUUUUUAAGUUAUUAAUUCUUCUGUAGCUCUCUGAAUAACUUGAAAGCAGAAAAAAAUGUCCUUUUCCCCACUGGAUUUACUUCCCUGAACCCAGGUCCUAAUAUGGCUGCCACAUAGUAGGAGCUUGAUCAAUAUUACUGAAUGAAUACUUGAAUGCCACGCAUCUCUGAAUCUGUCCCCAAUGCCUAGGAUAUUGUAGGUGCUCACCUAGGACUCUAUUCUCUUACAUGAAACCAAAUCACCCUGCAUUCCUAGCGCCUAGAGGUUGUGAUUGGGGGAGAGCCACUUUUAAUCAGCAUAUCUGGAUGUUUGCCACUUUCUGAACCAGAAAGCUUUCCCUGGUCCUGUUUGACCAAAGUUAAAGGUGACCAGUGGGGCUGUCUUCUGAAAAGUACAAGAGGAUGCCAUUUGCACCCAUGUUCCUUGGACCGUUCUGAGAGUCACCAAAGACUUCUCAACUGCCGUAUCUGCUGACCCAGUCCAGAGUGUAUGUCUCAUGGUGUCCUGGAACCCCAGUGCCUGGGAAUCAGGGAGGAAGGGAAAGAAAAGGAGAGGAAGGGAAGAAGCAGGGGAGGGAGGGAGAAAGGAAGAGGUCCUUCCCCAUUGGCCAACACCUUAGAGAUGAAGAAUUGGAGUCAAAAUGAUUGUCACACUAAGCCAAUGCUGUGGAUGGCAGCCUUUGGCCAAAACAGUCCCUCAGGCCUUCUUUCAUGAAUCUGAUUUCUUUGGCCGCUGACAUCUGGUCUUGCUUUGCAAGGUGGCUCUAGAACUGAAUCUGUCUCCUUUCUACCUCACCUCCUGUAAUCGCUGGGCUCUUUGGCUCCUUGGAGGUGGCAGGGUGGGAAGUUUGCUUGCUCUAGGGCAUGCUAGGAUAGCACUUUGUGUGCUGGGAGUGGCCUUACUGCCAAUGUUGGGAUCUGGAAAGGCUGAAUCUGGCAUCCAUCCCAUGAGACCCCUUUGGGGGACACAUGGGCUGUUGCCUGUUUAUGUCAGGGAGGAACUGCAAAUGAUUUUAUAGACAUUUUUCCCCUAAUACUAUUUAUGGAAGGUUGUUCUGACGUUGUCCUAACGUUAACUUCUUCUCAUCAAUUGUCCUACCUAAAACCACGCAUAGAUCCUGGGUGUUCACUUUUCUUGACUCCUGUGAAACAAAAAUAGUAUUAAUUGAUAUUUCAAUAUGUGACAGAGAUUUUGCAUGAUGUUUUCUCAUUUGACUCCUUUAUUCUUCACAAUAAUCCUGCAGAAUAGAUAUCACCAGUCCCUGUUCCAAGUAAGGAAAUUGUGGCUCAGAGAUCUUAAUUUCACAUCGCUGGUAUCUUUUCAUUACCUAUACAAUCUGACUGCCGCUUUAAUGGCCCUGCCUGAAUCACUUGCAGGGGUUUUUUUCAGGCUACUUUGGCAAUCAGUUUCUUCUGCAUCACACAUUACAUGCCUCGGCCACUGUGCUUGUAUUUCGUGGUCUCCUGUAACAUGGACUCAAACACUAAUUUGUUUGUAGUUAUUAUUUCUCGAAAGGAAAAAAAAAAAAAAGGCCCACUUAUGUUUCUCUUCUUUUAUCUUUCCAGACCCUGAGGGGCUGAUUCUCUGCAGCUCUUUUGGAGCAGAUGUGACCGGGAAAUCAAUACAGCCAUUAGAUUAAUCUGCGGCAACCAUAAUGUCAUUGCAUCUUUUGCCCUGUGAUGUUGACAGAGAUGUCAGAGCUAGGAGGAGGGGAGGCGCUUCAAAGAAGGAACGGGGCCUCCGAAGUGAAGGGGAGACUUGAAACCCCACGGAGCCUCACUUAACGGACGAAGGAUUGCGGGUGGCUGCCUCUGGCAUCAUCGGGUCUUCUGUCAGAGAAUGCAGUGACUUGGCAACGGGCAGAGCAGGGGGACCUGUAAAGCUCAGACAUCGGGAGGCCUCUCGGGAGGAUGAACUCAGCAGCAGUGGAGCAGUAGCCCGGUCUGGACUCUCUUUUCUUAUUUCCAGAUUCUCAGCCUCUCCCGAGGCAGGGCGGGGGUGGGAAGACCCCAUGGGAUUUCCUUCCAUUGCAUCUGGCCUUUUAAAAUUAUUAUUCUCAUUAUUAUUAAUAUUUCCUGACACAAGGAGAGAGGGUGUCCUUUAUAAGCACAGCGCUGGGUUCUUGGAAAGCAUUCAAGAUAUGUUUGGAUGGUGAAGGCUGCUCCCGUCCACAGCGCACAUUGGUACGGAACGCCUGCUAGUUCGGGCAGUGCUCCAGGUGCAGACGAGGGGGUGUGUGUGGGGGGGGGCGGGAUUUCUGCAGUGAACAAAAUAGACAAGACCCCUGCCUUCAGGGAGCUCACAUUCUAGUGGAGACCAAAAUCAAGCUAAGCCAUUAGCUUGAGUUUUCUCUCCCGCAGACUUGGCCAACUGCCCCCCCCCCCCCCCCAAUCUCUUCUCCUCUUCCUUUGUAGAGCAGUGGUUCUUAUCCAGGGGCACUUUUGCCACCACCCCCACCCCCCGCCCCACCCAAGAUAUUUGGCGAUGCCUAGAGACGGUGUUUGGCUGUCAUGACCUGUGUGUGUACGCAUGUGUGACUAGCGUCUGGCUCGUAGAAGCCAGGGAUGCUACCCAACAUCCUGCUGUGCUCAGGACACCCCCCACAACGAAGACCUUUCCAGCCUGCGGUAGCAGCCGACAGUGCUGAGACCCAGGAAGUCGGGUGGAGACAGAAGUGGCUGAGCAGCCGGUGACUACAUUUCCUAGCAUCCCUUGGAGCUAGGUGUGGCCAUGUGACUGGUUCUCACCAACGGAGUGGGGACAGGCGUGCUGUGCCCACGCCCACGUGCAAGGUUCUUAGUAAGUAGAUGGGCCUCUUUCCCGCCCCGCCCCGCACCCCCCUCACCCCCUAGGCUGGAUGAAGAGAACAGCAAGGUUAUUUGGUCUGGUGUUUUGUUUAUUCGUCAUAGACAUUUAUCUCUACAGAACAACUCAGAGGAUAAACAGAGGCACACGGCUGUAAUUGCCGCCACAAUCUGCUGCUGAGGAGACAUGCGACCCGAGGAUAAGGGGCUGGGAGCUGGAUGGGGUGUGUUGGGUCCCGGGAUAACUGGAGGCCCCUGUGAUGAACCACGUAGGGAUCCUAUCAGUCACGAUCUGACCCCCGGGCCUGAUGGUGACAGUGGAGCCACGCGGGGACCUAAAUCGCCAUGUGAGGAGAGCUGUCUGCCAGUCAGAGACACUCAGCUCGGACUUUCAUGAGAAAAGAUAAAGAGCAAAUGUUCAAGGAGGCCAGCAGGCCAGAGGACUCUCAUGUGCAAAGGAGAAAUGCAGCAUUUGUCAGAGCGCAAAACUGCUAAGCCAAGUGUACGUCCACAGGAGAAUGGACGAAAUGAACUCCUACAAAGAGCGUAAACGAACUAUAAAUAAGUGGAUUCGAGCGGCCUGUGCUGCGUCUAAAUGAAUCUCAGAAACAGUCUUAAGCAUCAAACCGUCUCAAAAAGGUAGAUAUCGGAUGAUGUCACAAAUAAUGUUACAAAUUGUGCCAUUCGGGGUCCCAGUAGGAAACGAAAGGCGAACUUGGAAUUCUGGAAAGAAGGAAAGGAAGGCACCUUUUCCAGGGGUGGUGGGUGUGGCGGACUGUUGCAUGGCCACAGAUUCCCACAUCGCUCCUUCCGUCCCGCGGUGGAAUCUGUUUUUCCAUCCCCAUUCAUCUGGGCUGGUUUUGUGACUUGUCUUGAUGAGAGACUGUGGCAAAAGUGACUUCAGGUAGGCUACACCGGGCCUGAAGUUUUCUCCCUUCACACCUUUUUAAAAAAUGUUUUGUUUAUUUUUUUGAGAGAGAGAGAGAGAAAGCAGGGGAGGGGGAGAGAGAGGGAGACAGAGCAUCAGAAGCAGGCUCUGUGCUGUCGGCGUGGAGCCUGACGCGGGGCUCAAACCCACGAACCUCGAGACCGCGACUUGAGCCGAAGUCGGAUGCUUCGCCGACUGAGCCACCCCGGUGCCCCUCUGUUCACACUUUUGAAAUGCGCUGACAUUACACAAAGGGGCCUGCACCAGCCUGCCAGAGGCCUUGUGGACAGAAAGACCCAACCGCCAGCCAGCGCUGACUGCCAGACGCAUGAGUGAGGCUGCCCGGGGCCCAGCCGGCCCCUAGCUGACCACGAGCGGGCUACCGACGUACGAGGAGAGCAGCCAGAACCGCUCCGAGCCGAGCUUCCUAGCUGAGUCCAGCUCAGAUUACCAACCCACAGGGUUAGGAACAAAACGCUGGUUAAUAUUUUCAACUAUUAAGUUUUGGCGUGUUUCGUUGGGAGUAUAUAAUCCACUUAGAAGGGUCAAGGAACCCGGAAGAGGAGCUCGGGCAUUGAAGUACAGUGGCAAGAGGAACUCAGCGGGUCUGAAUGAAUCAUCAUGAAGAAGCAUAACUUGUUGAGGCUUCCCAAGACACGGAAAGGAAUCUGGCCGACCUCUGUGUCGAAGCUUUACGAGACAGGUGUGAGCGGUAAGAGACCUACCGUAUAUUUUCUCUCCGACUCUUUGUUUCCUGGUAAUGGUGCACCUUCUCCACGUACACGAAGCUAGUCUGUGGUGAGAAAAAUCAGCAUUUGGAAGACCGGAACUUCGCUUGUCUCCUAAGAAGAACCUUACUUUUAUGGGCUACUUUGAUGAACACAUGAAAGCACACCUGGUGGAGGGUCCAAAACAUCACUACAAGCCCGGAGAUAAAGCAACCAGUCACAACAACAGAGAGCACAGAACACACUCCGAAAACCACCUCCUGAGGGGCCGAGCCCUAGGCAGUGCAUGACCCCUCUUUAAUAUAGUAGUGCUCGCAGGUACGGGACACAUAACAAGCUUUUAAAACACAUAAGGGACAGAAAACUAGCCAAAGUGAUGACACGGAAGAAUUCUCCUCAAAAGAAAUUCCGGGAAGAAAUGACAGCUAAAGAAUGGCUCAAAACAGAUAUAAACAAUAUAUCUGAUCAAGAAUUUAGAGUAACCGUCACAGAAAGUUAGUUGGGAUCAAACCCAUGAGGACUCUGAAUGUCCAGCCAAGGAAACUGGAUUUGAUUCUGUAGCCACUGGUAUGUCAAUAAAGGCUCUUGAAGAGAUAAGUGGAAUGACCCAGCUAGCAACUAGAAGGACAAAGUGAGAGUGAACACCUGAAAAUGGCACGUCCAAAUAACCCCAAAGCAGUGAGUCCCCAUCUAUGGGCUGGUUCACACACCUUUGUCAAUUGCUUAUUUGUCAAUAAAUAAUGUCUUUAUUUUCAUUUUCAA
Molecule: long non-coding RNA, 5573 nt
Organism: Panthera uncia (snow leopard)
Lineage: Eukaryota; Metazoa; Chordata; Mammalia; Carnivora; Felidae
Exons: 6
Source: RefSeq, a predicted model, not a curated record